AUUUUUGUGUAGUGUGUCUUGAAUGACUGAGAGUUCAGCGCAUCAGCUUAAAAAAGUAAAACUAAUAAUUCCGCAAAACUCCGUGAAUUUGGCCGGAAAAACCUUAACAGCAGUGAAAGAUUUUCACACCGAGGCCGUCAACGAAGAGAGUGAUAAAGUUCGACAGAUUCCACCAUCCGACCGGACAAAAACCGGAGCAGUUCUAGCGGAAACAAGCUGAACACUCCGCUGGAACAACCAGCACCACAUCAUCAAGAGUCGCAGUCGCAGCAGUAAACUUGGCUGAAGAAAAACAUUUGUGUUUUGGUUUUGUUCAAGUGAACAGAACACGACUUCCUGGAUCGCACCAAAAGUAAUCUACGAUGGCUCCUAAAUAUUCUUCCGAGGAGCACCACAGACGACGAAAUCAGGGAAUCUGACAGAAGAAAAAGCUAUUCCUCUUCGGAAGACCCGAACGUUAAGAAUUGCGGGAAAAGGUGCGGAUGCAAUAGGAUUGUUCAUUCACCCGAAGUUAACAUUUGUUGGCGAUUGCACUUCGCUGUAUCAGCAGAAUAAUAUCAUUCAAGAGUCCCCAGAAUAGGCUCCAUAGGUUACGAAGACUACCGCGUAGUCCACCUUCUGGUACUAAAUUUGUAAAUUUUAUAAACUUUUAAGCUAUUAAUCCCAAGUAACAAUUUUAGUUUUAUACUAAUCUGCAAGCUCGCUAUGAAACUUCGUUAUAAAAUUACAUUAAGUUAUAUAAACCGCAAUAAAACAUCUAUAAAGCCCUUAUCAGUGUAAAAAGGCCCACCUACAGGAGGUUCUGAAGAACGCAUUACAAGUAUCUUAUACAACCUUUGGAGGGUUUCGUUAUGAGCUGUCAAAUUUUAGUUUGAGGGAAUAGUUUUUGGCGUGAAUGUUUAUUUUCCGAACAGGUUUUAAAAUGGAAUUGAUUUAGAAUAAAUAUUCUGACAUAAUGACAAACAAAAUAACAUCGUUAUUUGUGGUCGAAAAUCAAGAAACAUAUAUGAUCGAUCGGUUUAUUUGGCAACAUAAAGUUAUUAUUUAUUAUUUCUUACUGGAAAAAAUAUUGCGCUGCAAAAUUAAUCGAUUGAUUUUUCGAAAAACAGUCAAAAACAGCGCGCCCCUUUAUGAUAUUGCGAAAUAAAAGAGCCGAAAAUAUUUCUUUACUUUUUGAUCAAUACGUUUGUACAAAUGUUCUUCCAAUGUUCCAUAGGAAAAUGGCGAUUUAUCCUAAAGCCAGUUCGUCUCAAAGAAACCAUUUACAAAUCCAGUUAAUCUUGAAUGACGUCACGUUAGGAUUAAUUUGCCUUGAUUUUAUUCCAUCACGAACCAAUUGAUAUUUUAACAUAAAUUGUUUUCGAAAUUUUCAGCUAGCAGAAUGUAA
Long non-coding RNA from Uranotaenia lowii, 1387 nucleotides. RefSeq lists it as uncharacterized. Lineage: Eukaryota; Metazoa; Arthropoda; Insecta; Diptera; Culicidae. The record is from RefSeq and is a predicted model, not a curated record. The transcript has 4 exons.